This 1175-nucleotide ribosomal RNA is filed under the name uncultured Bacteroides sp. Its description in RNAcentral is "bacterial SSU rRNA". It matches the Rfam family "Bacterial small subunit ribosomal RNA", at positions 10 to 1176 of the family's 1533-position model. Lineage: Bacteria; Pseudomonadati; Bacteroidota; Bacteroidia; Bacteroidales; Bacteroidaceae. The record is from RNAcentral.
AGUUUGAUCCUGGCUCAGGAUGAACGCUAGCUACAGGCUUAACACAUGCAAGUCGAGGGGCAGCAUGGUCUUAGCUUGCUAAGGCUGAUGGCGACCGGCGCACGGGUGAGUAACACGUAUCCAACCUGCCGUCUACUCUUGGCCAGCCUUCUGAAAGGAAGAUUAAUCCAGGAUGGGAUCAUGAGUUCACAUGUCCGCAUGAUUAAAGGUAUUUUCCGGUAGACGAUGGGGAUGCGUUCCAUUAGAUAGUAGGCGGGGUAACGGCCCACCUAGUCAACGAUGGAUAGGGGUUCUGAGAGGAAGGUCCCCCACAUUGGAACUGAGACACGGUCCAAACUCCUACGGGAGGCAGCAGUGAGGAAUAUUGGUCAAUGGGCGAUGGCCUGAACCAGCCAAGUAGCGUGAAGGAUGACUGCCCUAUGGGUUGUAAACUUCUUUUAUAAAGGAAUAAAGUCGGGUAUGCAUACCCGUUUGCAUGUACUUUAUGAAUAAGGAUCGGCUAACUCCGUGCCAGCAGCCGCGGUAAUACGGAGGAUCCGAGCGUUAUCCGGGUUUAUUGGGUUUAAAGGGAGCGUAGAUGGAUGUUUAAGUCAGUUGUGAAAGUUUGCGGCUCAACCGUAAAAUUGCAGUUGAUACUGGAUGUCUUGAGUGCAGUUGAGGCAGGCGGAAUUCGUGGUGUAGCGGUGAAAUGCUUAGAUAUCACGAAGAACUCCGAUUGCGAAGGCAGCCUGCUAAGCUGCAACUGACAUUGAGGCUCGAAAGUGUGGGUAUCAAACAGGAUUAGAUACCCUGGUAGUCCACACGGUAAACGAUGAAUACUCGCUGUUUGCGAUAUACGGCAAGCGGCCAAGCGAAAGCGUUAAGUAUUCCACCUGGGGAGUACGCCGGCAACGGUGAAACUCAAAGGAAUUGACGGGGGCCCGCACAAGCGGAGGAACAUGUGGUUUAAUUCGAUGAUACGCGAGGAACCUUACCCGGGCUUAAAUUGCACUCGAAUGAUCCGGAAACGGUUCAGCUAGCAAUAGCGAGUGUGAAGGUGCUGCAUGGUUGUCGUCAGCUCGUGCCGUGAGGUGUCGGCUUAAGUGCCAUAACGAGCGCAACCCUUGUUGUCAGUUACUAACAGGUGAUGCUGAGGACUCUGACAAGACUGCCAUCGUAAGAUGUGAGGAAGGUGG